UCAGUGGAUGUUUUCCUCUUCCUUUUUGAAGCCAAACACCCAGGAGAUCGCCUUUGGGUGAGUCUGAACGGGAUUGCUGGGAGGUCGAUCCUUUCUAUCUUCCAGCAAUCUUAUAAGGAUUGGAAAGGGAAGUUCAUUCAAAUACGCCAAAACGACCAGGAUGCCUCGAUGCUCGACGGGUUUCCCUUGUACUGGGUAAACAAGGGAAACAAAGACGCCAAGGGAAGCUUCAGGAGGCCAAG
RNAcentral lists this long non-coding RNA (242 nucleotides) under Phaseolus vulgaris (common bean). RNAcentral describes it as "long non-coding RNA (PVUL_LNC004414)". Lineage: Eukaryota; Viridiplantae; Streptophyta; Magnoliopsida; Fabales; Fabaceae. The record is from RNAcentral.